AAACGAUCGCCUGAAUAACGGGCUAUAAUAUGGCUACUUAAAAUGAUUAGAACCAAAGCAAUUUGUCUUAAGAGAACCUUCUGGAAUAAAAGAACUGGCCCGGGACGGGGCUCGAACCCGCAACCUCCGCUUACCGUGCGGUGCGCUACCAGUUACGCCACCCGGACCCCGAGCAAGCCUUCGCUUCCAGAAGUAUAUAUAAUAGAUUAGAUAUAACCUUACUUGGUUAAAUACAUCACUGACUGGGGGCGACUUCAUCGCCCACGACCCUCAAUGGCACUCAGCCAGCUAACGUAACACCCGGCGAGGUAUAUAUAUAUAAAUAACAUCAACAUAAAGCCCGAUUGGUAUACAUAUAAAACUUCCAAACGAUCGCCUGAAUAACGGGCUAUAAUAUGGCUACUUAAAAUGAUUAGAACCAAAGCAAUUUGUCUUAAGAGGUAAGCGUUAGGCGCCAUCUCGUAACUAAAUUAAUAAUUAAAUAAAUAUAAUUAAUUAAAUUAAAUUAAAUUUAGAACCUUCUGGAAUAAAAGAACUGGCCCGGGACGGGGCUCGAACCCGCAACCUCCGCUUACCGUGCGGUGCGCUACCAGUUACGCCACCCGGACCCCGAGCAAGCCUUCGCUUCCAGAAGUAUAUAUAAUAGAUUAGAUAUAACCUUACUUGGUUAAAUACAUCACUGACUGGGGGCGACUUCAUCGCCCACGACCCUCAAUGGCACUCAGCCAGCUAACGUAACACCCGGCGAGG
Long non-coding RNA from Centruroides sculpturatus (bark scorpion), 750 nucleotides. RefSeq lists it as uncharacterized. The transcript has 2 exons. The record is from RefSeq and is a predicted model, not a curated record. NCBI's taxonomy places the organism in Eukaryota, Metazoa, Arthropoda, Arachnida, Scorpiones, Buthidae.